This 645-nucleotide ribosomal RNA is filed under the name uncultured bacterium. Its description in RNAcentral is "bacterial SSU rRNA". It matches the Rfam family "Bacterial small subunit ribosomal RNA", at positions 210 to 851 of the family's 1533-position model. The record is from RNAcentral.
GUGAUCCGGCAGAGGAUGGACAUGCGGCGCAUUAGCUAGUCGGCGGGGUAACGGCCCACCGAGGCUACGAUGCGUAGGGGUUCUGAGAGGAAGGUCCCCCACACUGGUACUGAGACACGGACCAGACUCCUACGGGAGGCAGCAGUGAGGAAUAUUGGUCAAUGGGCGGAAGCCUGAACCAGCCAAGUCGCGUGAGGGAAGACGGUCCUAUGGAUUGUAAACCUCUUUUGCAGGGGAGCAAGGCGCGGUACGUGUACCGCGAAGGAGAGUACCCUGAGAAAAAGCAUCGGCUAACUCCGUGCCAGCAGCCGCGGUAAUACGGAGGAUGCGAGCGUUAUCCGGAUUUAUUGGGUUUAAAGGGUGCGCAGGCGGACUGUUAAGUCAGCGGUAAAAUGUCGGUGCUCAACACCGGCCGGCCGUUGAAACUGGCAGCCUUGAGUGAGCGAGAAGUAUGCGGAAUGCGUGGUGUAGCGGUGAAAUGCAUAGAUAUCACGCAGAACUCCGAUUGCGAAGGCAGCAUACCGGCGCUCAACUGACGCUCAGGCACGAAAGCGUGGGUAUCGAACAGGCUUAGAUACCCUGGUAGUCCACGCAGUAAACGAUGAAUGCUCACUGUCCGGGCCGUUUAAGGCCUGGGUGGUCAAG